ACCCACCUGGCUCUUCCCACAGGCUGUGUUUUUGGCACUAACUGUAUAGAAAAAGGAGGCAGAGUGAAACACCCUAGAUCUACCUCAGCCCAGGCCCCUGGCCCGGGUCUGCAUUGUGUAGGCCUGGGGUGGGGUGC
Erinaceus europaeus (western European hedgehog) is the source of this 137-nucleotide non-coding RNA. The record is from Rfam. Lineage: Eukaryota; Metazoa; Chordata; Mammalia; Eulipotyphla; Erinaceidae.